AAGGUUUCCGUAGGUGAACCUGCGGAAGGAUCAUUAUUGAACAAACCGGUGUCGGCUGAGCUGGCCUCUUCGGAGGCAUGUGCACGGCCCACCAUUGUUUCAUCCUUCUCUUCCACCUGUGCACUUCUGUGGGUCCACUCCAGCACAUCCGUGUGCUGGAAUCUGGUGCCUACGCUUUACUAUCUACACCAUUGAAUGUUAAGAACGCAUGAAUAGGGCUUCUAGCCCAUAAAACCUUAUACAACUUUCAACAACGGAUCUCUUGGCUCUCGCAUCGAUGAAGAACGCAGCGAAAUGCGAUAAGUAAUGUGAAUUGCAGAAUUCAGUGAAUCAUCGAAUCUUUGAACGCACCUUGCGCUCCUUGGCAUUCCGAGGAGCAUGCCUGUUUGAGUGUCAUUAAAUCAUCAACCACCUCAUCUUUUGAAGAGGGGGUUGGACUUGGAGGUUCUGCUGGCCCCGCUCUCUGCGACCCGGCUCCUCUGAAAUGCAUUAGCAGGGGCUCAUCUUGUGCAAUCUGCAGCCUUGUGUGAUAGUUAUCUACACUCGGCGAGGUCGCAUUCACCCAGCUUCCAGCCGUCCGCUUGCGUGGACAACACUUGACCACUUGACCUCAAAUCAGGUAGGACUACCCGCUGAACUUAAGCAUA
This 647-nucleotide ribosomal RNA is filed under the name Pluteus sp. AJ-2015n. Its description in RNAcentral is "eukaryotic LSU rRNA". The stretch from base 243 to 396 matches the Rfam family "5.8S ribosomal RNA". The record is from RNAcentral. Lineage: Eukaryota; Fungi; Basidiomycota; Agaricomycetes; Agaricales; Pluteaceae.